RNAcentral lists this ribosomal RNA (253 nucleotides) under uncultured bacterium. RNAcentral's name for it is "partial 16S ribosomal RNA". It matches the Rfam family "Bacterial small subunit ribosomal RNA", at positions 524 to 776 of the family's 1533-position model. The record is from RNAcentral.
UACGUAGGGGGCAAGCGUUAUCCGGAUUUACUGGGUGUAAAGGGAGCGUAGGCGGCUGUGUAAGCCAGAAGUGAAAGCCCGGGGCUCAACUCCGGGACUGCUUUUGGAACUACAUGGCUUGAUUGCAGGAGAGGCAAGUGGAAUUCCUAGUGUAGCGGUGAAAUGCGUAGAUAUUAGGAGGAACACCAGUGGCGAAGGCGGCUUGCUGGACUGUAAAUGACGCUGAGGCUCGAAAGCGUGGGGAGCAACCAGG